Molecule: ribosomal RNA, 468 nt
Filed under: uncultured bacterium
Lineage: Bacteria
Description: partial 16S ribosomal RNA
Rfam family: Bacterial small subunit ribosomal RNA
Source: RNAcentral
GACGAACGCUGGCGGCGUGCUUAACACAUGCAAGUCGAACGGAAAGGCCCUGCUUUUGUGGGGUGCUCGAGUGGCGAACGGGUGAGUAACACGUGAGUAACCUGCCCUUGUCUUUGGGAUAACCUCAGGAAACUGGGGCUAUUACCGGAUAGGAGCUCCUGCUGCAUGGUGGGGGUUGGAAAGUUUCGGCGGUUGGGGAUGGAAUGGCUGCUUAGCAGCUUGUUGGUGGGGUAGUGGCUUACCAAGGCUUUGAGGGGUAGCCGGCCUGAGAGGUCGACCGGCCACAUUGGGACUGAGAUACGGCCCAGACGCCUACGGGAGGCAGCGGUGGGGAAUAUUGCACAAUGGGCGGGAGCCUGAUGCAACAACGCCGCGUGCGGGAAGACGGCCUUCGGGUUGUAAACCGCUUUCGCCUGUGACGAAGCGUGAGUGACGGUAAUGGGUAAAGAAGCACCGGCUAACUACGUG